Molecule: RNA transcript, 1038 nt
Organism: Culex quinquefasciatus (southern house mosquito)
Lineage: Eukaryota; Metazoa; Arthropoda; Insecta; Diptera; Culicidae
Gene name: protein obstructor-E
Exons: 5
Source: RefSeq, a predicted model, not a curated record
GAGCCAGCGAGUCUGAGGUCUCUCUUCGGUUGGAGGAACUCGUCAAAAGUAAGAGUAUUAUCAUCAGUGCUCGCUAGUCCAUUGAGGUCUUUUGAAGUGUUUGGUGGUGUGUCGCGUGAGCUCUCUCGUACUCAUGCGCCGAUAGUGUACGCAGUGAUAUUGUGCGUGGGAUAAUCUUCUAAGUAGUGUAUCUUAUCGGAAGCUAAGCCUAUAGUGUAAACAUGAACCGUUUUGUAGCCGUUGGUCUGCUGCUGGCUGUUAGUGCACAUGCUCAGCAGUUCAAAUGUCCUUCCAAGGACGGCCAGUACGAGGAUCCGAUCCAGUGUGACAAGUACUACGAAUGCUAUGAUGGACGUGCCACGGAAAACUGUGCCCUGAUGGUCUUGUGUUUGAUCCAACGAUCAGGAAGAUCAACAAGUGCGACCAGCCCUUCAACGUUGAUUGUGGCGAUCGAGUAGAGUUGCAACAACCCAAGGGAAAUAGCUUGUGCCCACGAAAGAACGGAUUCUUUGCCCAUCCAGAUGCGGCCGUGUGCAACGUGUUCUACAAUUGCAUCGAAGGAGAGGCCAACGAAAUUACUUGCACUUCUGGACUCCACUUUGACGAAUACACGGGAACCUGCGUGUGGCCAAACGAUGCCGGACGCCAAGGAUGCAACCCUGGAACCAACAAGAAACUAAAGGACGGAUUCACCUGCCCAAAAGAACAAAAGACUGACGAGGCCGGCCAGUCCGUGGCGCAUCCCAAGUACGCUCACCCAACAGAUUGCCAGCGAUUCUACGUUUGUCUGAACGGAGUUGAGCCACGUGACCUUGGUUGCCAGGCUGGUGAAGUGUAUAACGAGGAAACCGAGCGAUGCGAUGCACCGGAAAAUGUUCCUGGGUGUGAGGAUUGGUACAAAGACAGUGAUGAAAAGAAGCACUAAAUCACGUCGCAGAUCGAUGAUAUCUCAUUUAUCAUUUUUUGAUCACUCAUAAGACUACAUAAUGUAAAAUUAUUUGGAAUUAGUUAACUUAAUAAACGACUGUUUUAACUAAA